RNAcentral lists this ribosomal RNA (403 nucleotides) under uncultured bacterium. RNAcentral's name for it is "bacterial SSU rRNA". It matches the Rfam family "Bacterial small subunit ribosomal RNA", at positions 28 to 429 of the family's 1533-position model. The record is from RNAcentral.
GAUGAACGCUGGCGGCGUGCUUAACACAUGCAAGUCGAACGGGAUCCAGGCAGCUUGCUGCCUGGUGAGAGUGGCGAACGGGUGAGUAAUGCGUGACCGACCUGCCCCAUACACCGGAAUAGCUCCUGGAAACGGGUGGUAAUGCCGGAUGCUCCGACUCCUCGCAUGGGGUGUCGGGAAAGAUUUCAUCGGUAUGGGAUGGGGUCGCGUCCUAUCAGGUAGUCGGCGGGGUAACGGCCCACCGAGCCUACGACGGGUAGCCGGCCUGAGAGGGCGACCGGCCACAUUGGGACUGAGAUACGGCCCAGACUCCUACGGGAGGCAGCAGUGGGGAAUAUUGCACAAUGGGCGCAAGCCUGAUGCAGCGACGCCGCGUGCGGGAUGACGGCCUUCGGGUUGUAAA